UGGGGAAUAUUGGACAAUGGGCGAAAGCCUGAUCCAGCCAUGCCGCGUGAGUGAUGAAGGCCUUCGGGUUGUAAAGCUCUUUUGGGUGGGACGAUGAUGACGGUACCACCAGAAUAAGAUCCGGCAAACUUCGUGCCAGCAGCCGCGGUAAUACGAAGGGAUCUAGCGUUGUUCGGAUUUACUGGGCGUAAAGGGCGCGUAGGCGGUUAUGUAAGUAAGAUGUGAAAGCCCUGGGCUUAACCCGGGAACUGCAUUUUAAACUGCAUAGCUUGAGUGUUGGAGAGGUAAGUAGAAUUCCCAGUGUAGAGGUGAAAUUCGUAGAUAUUGGGAAGAAUACCAGUGGCGAAGGCGACUUACUGGACAACAACUGACGCUGAGGCGCGAAAGCGUGGGGAGCAAA
This 400-nucleotide ribosomal RNA is filed under the name uncultured bacterium. RNAcentral's name for it is "bacterial SSU rRNA". It matches the Rfam family "Bacterial small subunit ribosomal RNA", at positions 355 to 772 of the family's 1533-position model. The record is from RNAcentral.